RNAcentral lists this ribosomal RNA (434 nucleotides) under uncultured Lachnospiraceae bacterium. RNAcentral describes it as "partial 16S ribosomal RNA". It matches the Rfam family "Bacterial small subunit ribosomal RNA", at positions 341 to 792 of the family's 1533-position model. The record is from RNAcentral. Lineage: Bacteria; Bacillati; Bacillota; Clostridia; Lachnospirales; Lachnospiraceae.
ACGGAAGGCAGCAGUGGGGAAUAUUGCACAAUGGGCGAAAGCCUGAUGCAGCGACGCCGCGUGAGUGAAGAAGUAUCUCGGUAUGUAAAGCUCUAUCAGCAGGGAAGAAAAUGACGGUACCUGACUAAGAAGCCCCGGCUAACUACGUGCCAGCAGCCGCGGUAAUACGUAGGGGGCAAGCGUUAUCCGGAUUUACUGGGUGUAAAGGGAGCGUAGACGGUUUGGCAAGUCUGAAGUGAAAUGCGGGGGCUCAACUCCUGAACUGCUUUGGAAACUGUCGAACUAGAGUGCAGGAGAGGUAAGUGGAAUUCCUAGUGUAGCGGUGAAAUGCGUAGAUAUUAGGAGGAACACCAGUGGCGAGGGCGGCUUACUGGACUGUAACUGACGUUGAGGCUCGAAAGCGUGGGGAGCAAACAGGAUUAGAUACCCUGGUA